This 454-nucleotide ribosomal RNA is filed under the name uncultured Prevotellaceae bacterium. RNAcentral describes it as "bacterial SSU rRNA". It matches the Rfam family "Bacterial small subunit ribosomal RNA", at positions 341 to 792 of the family's 1533-position model. The record is from RNAcentral. Lineage: Bacteria; Pseudomonadati; Bacteroidota; Bacteroidia; Bacteroidales; Prevotellaceae.
ACGGGAGGCAGCAGUGAGGAAUAUUGGUCAAUGGACGGAAGUCUGAACCAGCCAAGUAGCGUGAGGGAUGACUGCCCUAUGGGUUGUAAACCUCUUUUGUCGGGGAAUAAAGUGUGCCAUGUAUGGUAUUUUGCAUGUACCCGUCGAAUAAGGAUCGGCUAACUCCGUGCCAGCAGCCGCGGUAAUACGGAGGAUCCGAGCGUUAUCCGGAUUUAUUGGGUUUAAAGGGAGCGUAGGCGGAAGGUCAAGUCAGCUGUGAAAUGUAGUCGCUCAACGUCUGCACUGCAGUUGAAACUGGCCUCCUUGAGUGCGUAAGAGGCGGGUGGAAUUCGUCGUGUAGCGGUGAAAUGCUUAGAUAUGACGAAGAACUCCGAUUGCGAAGGCAGCUCGCUGGGCCGCAACUGACGCUGAAGCUCGAAAGCGUGGGGAGCAAACAGGAUUAGAUACCCUGGUA